GGAGUUUGUGUAACACCAGCUGAAACAAAUAUACAUCACUAUUAGGCUUCAGCUGAGUUUCAGGUCACUAAUCUCCCUCUAGAAUAUACCAAUUGCAAAUUGUAACCCAAAAUAUUAGGGAAACAACCAGCCUCACCGUUUCCAGAAGUUAGAAGCUCCAUAUGAAUGUGUAUCCGUUGCAGCUCCCAUGAGAUGAGUAUCAG
This 203-nucleotide unclassified non-coding RNA is filed under the name Hevea brasiliensis (rubber tree). Lineage: Eukaryota; Viridiplantae; Streptophyta; Magnoliopsida; Malpighiales; Euphorbiaceae. The record is from RNAcentral.